GUCGAACGGUCUGAGGGCUUCGGCCCUCAGAGAGUGGCGAACGGGUGAGUAACACGUGGGUGACCUGCCUGGAAGUGGGGAAUAACCCCUCGAAAGGGGGGCUAAUACCGCAUGUGGUCGGAGCUCCGUUGCUUCGACUAAAGUCGCAAGACGCUUCUGGAGGGGCCUGCGGCCGAUUAGCUAGUUGGUGGGGUAACGGCUCACCAAGGCCGUGAUCGGUAGCUGGUCUGAGAGGACGAUCAGCCACACUGGGACUGAGAUACGGCCCAGACUCCUACGGGAGGCAGCAGUGAGGAAUUUUGCGCAAUGGGCGAAAGCCUGACGCAGCAACGCCGCGUGGGGGAUGAAGGCCUUCGGGUUGUAAACCCCUUUUCUUCGGGAAGAUUAUGACGGUACCGGAGGAAUAAGUCACGGCAAACUACGUGCCAGCAGCCGCGGUAAUACGUAGGUGGCAAGCGUUGUCCGGAUUUACUGGGCGUGAAGAGCGCGUAGGCGGUUGGGUAAGUCUAUGGUGAAACCUUUCGGCUUAACCGAGAGACGUCUGUGGAUACUACCCAGCUUGAGUACCGUAGAAGAAGGUGGAAUUCCCGGUGUAGUGGUGAAAUGCGUAGAUAUCGGGAGGAACACCAGUGGCGAAAGCGGCCUUCUAGGCGGUAACUGACGCUGAGGCGCGAAAGCGUGGGGAGCGAACCGGAUUAGAUACCCGGGUAGUCCACGCCGUAAACGAUGGGCACUAGGUGUAGUGGGUAUCGACCCCCGCUGUGCCGGAGCUAACGCAUUAAGUGCCCCGCCUGGGGAGUACGGCCGCAAGGCUAAAACUCAAAGGAAUUGACGGGGG
This 838-nucleotide ribosomal RNA is filed under the name uncultured bacterium. Its description in RNAcentral is "bacterial SSU rRNA". It matches the Rfam family "Bacterial small subunit ribosomal RNA", at positions 61 to 919 of the family's 1533-position model. The record is from RNAcentral.